Molecule: non-coding RNA, 1362 nt
Organism: Schizosaccharomyces pombe (fission yeast)
Lineage: Eukaryota; Fungi; Ascomycota; Schizosaccharomycetes; Schizosaccharomycetales; Schizosaccharomycetaceae
Source: the annotation of a GenBank genome assembly
UUCCACCAAAUUGCUCUGGACGAUCAAUGACAAAUUCAGUUUCGCCACGAAGUUCCAUUGCAGGGAAACUGACGUAUUUCAAGAAAGCCAAACAACCAUUUUCCUCCACAACACCAGGCUCGCAAAAAGCUGAACGGAUUUUCUUGUUUACAGUUUUGGGAUCAUCUAAGAUAUCAAUUUUGGCGUUGGCAGCGGCAGAGGAAGACAUUUUACCACCAGCAAGACUGGGCACCAUAGGGUUCAUUAAAUGGCCACGCUUCUUGUAUCCCAAAACUGGUAACACCUCUUCAGCCAUAACGAAAAUUUUACGUUGGUCAACACCACCGAAUUGAACAUCAACACCAAGGUAUUGUUCAUCAAGAGCUUGCAUACCUGGAUAGAUCAAGCUUGACAAUAGAGGACUAGCGACCUGCUUGACAACUUCUGCACCGGCACGACGAGCAGUGUGCUCUGUCGUAGAUGCAGCAAGUCGAAAGUUAUCAAGGGUAUAAUCCUCCUUCAGCUGAUAGCUGGAGCCAAUGACAAAACGAAGCUUCUCAAUGGGAAUAUUCAACGAUUUUAGAAUAGAUUUGACAAUAAUUUCAUAAUAACGAACACGGUGUUGAACGAGUUCCAUCGGCGCCUUCAUGUUAUCCAAAAAAGCAUGGACAUCGGCUAAAAGAACAGUAACAUGUACACCGGCCUUUAAAAAAUCAGCCAACUUCAUCAUUGGCACAAAAUAACCACAAUGAGGACGGCCAGUAGGUGCACUGCCCCAGUACAAGCUGAUAUCGCGUUCAUUCAAAAUUUCGCGAAUCAUUUUGGCGCCAAGCACCUCUUGAAGAUUACGAGUAAUCAACUCAUAUUUUUCAUCCGGAGUAAGCGACAUCUUGCUUGAUAUCCAACGUUAAAUGGAACUCACAAAAAUUGGUGAUGUUGGUUAACGAUGUUUUCGAUUGCAAUCAUGGACUGCGAUCAACGUUCGGAAUUGCCGCGGCACCGUGACUGCAACCCGAACAACAAAUUAUUCAGACAAAAUUAUUAACCAAGGUUUAAUAAAUAAUUUGGUUUAAUUAUGUGCAAUUACUAAUAAAAUAUCGUUUAAAAAAUGUUUAUGUUAUCAAAACAUUCGUAAAAAGGGUAAAAGCGGUUAAUUAAUGUUAACAGGAAUAAACCUUUUGGGAAGAUGAACUGAGUUGCAGAGGUCCUCGGUUUUCGUUAUAAACUGCUGAAGGUCUAAAUGUCUUGUAAGCGACCUGCGAGGUGAAACGCUAAUACAGUGUUUAGCAUCAAGAUUCAUAUCCAAUGGACAUUGGGCAUAACAACCUGGUGAGAGUGUGAUACGAACAGAAAAUUCCUUAUUUCCUGAAGGAUUAGUCCUCU